CUGAGAGGCAGGAUCGAUUAUCGAUCCCAACGAGUACGGGCUGAGGGGCGGGAGAGGGGAUGGAUCAUCGAUCAUUGAUCAUCGAUCCCAACAGGCACAGGCUGAGAGGCAGGAGAUGGAUCAUCGAUCAUCGAUCCCAACGGGAAAACAACCCCCAAGUUGCCAGGGAGACCAGACCUGCUGUGAUAACAGAAUUGCCUUCCUGGUGACCGUGUCUUUCCUCAGUUCACAUCAUCUCCCUCAUCCCAAAACUUUCCUACAGCAAGCAGAUUUGUCAGCAGGGGAUGGAAUUCCUCCCUCCUAAAUCCCAGGUUCCUGCUUGUAUGUGAGGCUGGGGCAUGGCCCUGCACAUAUCCAGAGGUUUGCUCUUCUUAGAUCCAGCUUUGUUCAGAUUUUAUCCAUAGUUUUGUUGUAAAGAAAAUGUUUCCUUACAAAAUCUAAUACAUAAAUCAUUCAUCAGUGGCCUUCAGCACGUACAUGUCCUUUGUCCUCAGAUGUCAAAAUACUGUUCCAUGGACGUCAGUCCUUGCUGGAUAACCUUGGCAGGGAGA
This 551-nucleotide long non-coding RNA is filed under the name Taeniopygia guttata (zebra finch). RNAcentral's name for it is "lncRNA (ENSTGUG00000019035.1)". Lineage: Eukaryota; Metazoa; Chordata; Aves; Passeriformes; Estrildidae. The record is from RNAcentral.